UACGUAGGUGGCAAGCGUUGUCCGGAUUUACUGGGCGUAAAGAGCGCGCAGGCGGUUAUUCAAGUCGAAUGUGAAAGCCCCCGGCUUAACUGGGGAGGGUCAUUCGAUACUGUUUAACUUGAAGGCAGGAGAGGGUAGUGGAAUUCCCGGUGUAGUGGUGAAAUGCGUAGAUAUCGGGAGGAACACCAGUGGCGAAGGCGACUACCUGGCCUGUUCUUGACGCUGAGGCGCGAAAGCUAGGGGAGCAAACGGG
This 253-nucleotide ribosomal RNA is filed under the name uncultured bacterium. Its description in RNAcentral is "partial 16S ribosomal RNA". It matches the Rfam family "Bacterial small subunit ribosomal RNA", at positions 524 to 776 of the family's 1533-position model. The record is from RNAcentral.